GACGAACGCUGGCGGCGUGCCUAAUACAUGCAAGUCGAGCGAAGUUUUUCUGGUGCUUGCACUAGAAAAACUUAGCGGCGAACGGGUGAGUAACACGUAAAGAACCUGCCUCAUAGACUGGGACAACUAUUGGAAACGAUAGCUAAUACCGGAUAACAGUAUUUCUCGCAUGGGAGAUAUUUAAAAGUUGGUUAUGCUAACACUAUGAGAUGGCUUUGCGGUGCAUUAGCUAGUUGGUGGGGUAAAGGCCCACCAAGGCGACGAUGCAUAGCCGACCUGAGAGGGUGAUCGGCCACACUGGGACUGAGACACGGCCCAGACUCCUACGGGAGGCAGCAGUAGGGAAUCUUCCGCAAUGGGCGAAAGCCUGACGGAGCAACGCCGCGUGAGUGAAGAAGGAUUUCGGUUCGUAAAGCUCUGUUGUUAAGGAAGAAUGGAUAUGUAGUAACUAUACAUGUACGAGAC
This 465-nucleotide ribosomal RNA is filed under the name Gemella morbillorum. Its description in RNAcentral is "bacterial SSU rRNA". It matches the Rfam family "Bacterial small subunit ribosomal RNA", at positions 28 to 478 of the family's 1533-position model. Lineage: Bacteria; Bacillati; Bacillota; Bacilli; Caryophanales; Gemellaceae. The record is from RNAcentral.